Molecule: ribosomal RNA, 900 nt
Filed under: uncultured Actinomycetes bacterium
Lineage: Bacteria; Bacillati; Actinomycetota; Actinomycetes
Description: bacterial SSU rRNA
Rfam family: Bacterial small subunit ribosomal RNA
Source: RNAcentral
UAGAGUUUGAUCCUGGCUCAGGACGACGCUGACGGCGUGCUUAACACAUGCAAGUCGGGCGGUAAGGCCCUUUCGGGGGUACACGAGCGGCGAACGGGUGAGUAACACGUGGGUGACCUGCCCUCAGCUCUGGGAUAAGCCUGGGAAACCGGGUCUAAUACCGGAUACGACUCCAUGCUGCAUGGUGUGGGGUGGAAAGCCUUGUGCGGCUGGGGAUGGGCCCGCGGCCUAUCAGCUUGUUGGUGGGGUGAUGGCCUACCAAGGCGACGACGGGUAGCCGGCCUGAGAGGGCGAUCGGCCACACUGGGACUGAGACACGGCCCAGACUCCUACGGGAGGCAGCAGUGGGGAAUUUUGCGCAAUGGGCGGAAGCCUGACGCAGCGACGCCGCGUGAGGGAUGACGGCCUUCGGGUUGUAAACCUCUUUCAGCCCUGACGAAGCAGUGAUGUGACGGUAGGGGUAGAAGAAGCACCGGCCAACUACGUGCCAGCAGCCGCGGUAAUACGUAGGGUGCAAGCGUUGUCCGGAAUUAUUGGGCGUAAAGAGCUCGUAGGCGGUCUGUCGCGUCGGCUGUGAAAUCCCGGGGCUCAACCCCGGGCUUGCAGUCGAUACGGGCAGGCUAGAGUGCGGCAGGGGAGACUGGAAUUCCUGGUGUAGCGGUGAAAUGCGCAGAUAUCAGGAGGAACACCGGUGGCGAAGGCGGGUCUCUGGGCCGAUACUGACGCUGAGGAGCGAAAGCGUGGGGAGCGAACAGGAUUAGAUACCCUGGUAGUCCACGCCGUAAACGUUGGGCGCUAGGUGUGGGAUCCCUUCCACGGGUUCCGUGCCGCAGCUAACGCAUUAAGCGCCCCGCCUGGGGAGUACGGCCGCAAGGCUAAAACUCAAAUGAAUUGACGGGG